RNAcentral lists this long non-coding RNA (2163 nucleotides) under Olea europaea subsp. europaea. The record is from RNAcentral. Lineage: Eukaryota; Viridiplantae; Streptophyta; Magnoliopsida; Lamiales; Oleaceae.
CAAAUUUGAUUUCUCAUUUCCUCCAUUUGAAACCGGCAGGCGAGUCAGGCGACAGCAAACCCUGAAAUUUCCAUAUUUCCAUUCAAAGCAGAGCUGCAGAACAACAGAAUUAGUAGCUGGAGCCAGUGGACGGUUUGGUGGUGUCAUGGUGUGCGAAGUCAGGGACUAUCAGAAUCAAGGGCGAGGCCAUGGCCGCGAGGCGACGAUCUAGUGAGUUGAAAUUUGAAUAACUUGAAGUGUUGAAUGCUUGAAGUCUUGCUUGAGUACUGCAAUUUGCAAACCCUUUGUUGAUUUGUUGAUUUGUGCAAACUCUUUUUUGAUUUGUCGAUUUGUGCUUUUGCAACUGCAAUUUGCAAACCCUUUGUUGUCUAUUGAGUGUGUUGUGAAUGAAAUGAAGUAUGGUUUUACUUUCACCAUUUUGGAUUGCUCAACAAGGUGGAUUAUUAAGAAAAAAAAGUUGGGUGUAAUAGGGGACUCUAGAAUGGUUUAUUUGGAUUCAAGAGUUGGAGAGUGGAUUCCAAAUUAGAAUCGUUUCAUUAAAAUCUCUAAGAAUCCAAAUAUCAAGUUAACCAGGAAGGUGGCUGUGUGUUGUAUUGUUUGAAAUGACUUUUUGAGUAUACAAUUUUGAGGCUGCAAGUGUAAUCUCGUGCUACUAUUCUAUAUUUAUGUAGUCGAAAUUUUUCAUGAACUGGUGUCAUAUGAAAGUUAUAGUUGAGCUUUUCAUUUAUAGUAUGGAUUUUAAAAGCUCUUCCCUAAUGAUGGAUUUAAUGUGGAAUUUGAAUUAUUAUGGGAUAAAAAACCAUACCGGUUUUAAUUUUUCUCAAUUUAAAUCCUAAGCACAAGUGAGCUAGGACUAGUAGUUUCAUUUUUUUACUUAUUCAGUUAUUCAAUGUGAAUGCCGUUAAAUUUGUGACCUUCUGGAGUCUCUGCAUCUAAAGGAUGAAUUAUUUGUUUCUUUUUAUUACACAUUGACUUCAACGAGUUAGAAGUUGAGCAUAAAAUUCAAAUUUCCUUCUCACACUGAGAAGUUUUAGAUAAAAGAUUUAACUUGGCCUCAUAUAUUUGAUUGCUUCCCAAUGUUGCCUAGUUUUUGGAUGGUAGAGGAGAGGAGAGGAGAGGAGAGGAAUUUAAUCUUGUACAACUGUAACAUAAUAUGGAAUGUUCCACCUAUUCAUAAUUAAAAGGUCAAAGGUCAACGAUCCGCCCUAGCUGACCUUCGAUCCUGGAUUCGCCCCUGACUAUAUUAUUUUAUAAUGAACAAUUUGGAAUAUGAAUCGUCUAUGACUGUAAUCCGGUAACUCAGAAAGCCUUCGUUAAUAACUCAUUAUAAGAAGAAGAAAAAACUCUUCAUUAACUCAUACCAUGCUUAUCAUUAACUCUGUAUUAUUUGUUUGCAAUGAAAAUAUCACUUAUUAAAAGCUCUCUAAUAUAAUCUCUUUGUUGGUCUUGGUUAAGAAUGAAUCUUUAUUCCAUCACGCUACAUGUACAUCUUUGUUGUCUAUUGAUAAUAAGUUUGACAUUGUUGUGAAGUGACAAUUUUUUAUACAUUAAUUUUACAAUAUUGCUAUACAAAUAGGGUCAAUGACGGGAUUUAAAAAUAAGACACAAGUAUAAAACAUUUAUUAUACAGUUUGAACAACAGAGAAAGAAAAAGAGCCCCAUAGAUGUUGUCAACCGUACCUGUCAAAAGCCCUUGUUCAAGCAACAGUAUUCUUAAUUUUAACAAUACAUUUAAUAAUCAAUGACACAGAUUUUGAUAACACGUAUAGUGUAAAUCUUAAAGUACACCAAUUGUGUACAACUAAUUUAAUCCAUCUUUAUUUACAUGCAGGGGCGGAGUCAUAUACAGUUGAGUGCACUCAACUUUGGGUUGCCGCUGCCCUAGUUAAAGAAUUAUGUAAGAAAUAGUGGCUGGGAGAAAUAGUGGUUGUGAGAAUAAUGUCCAUUGCCAUUCUACAGAUUUUUGGGAGAAAUGGUGAGUGAGAGAAAAAUGGACUGUUGGAAAAAAAUUAGUGAAAGUGAAGUAUUUUUCACCGUGUAAAAUAUUAAAUUAUUGAAUUGGCAAGUGUGUUUUGUCAUAAAAUUAGUUGUACGAGUUACUUUGUUAUAAAGAGAAUUCUUUUACAUUUCAAAUUUAAUCGUAAAUUUUGUCCGCAUUGAAAA